CGUAGGGGCAAGCGUUAUCCGGAUUCAUUGGGCGUAAAGCGCUCGUAGGCGGUCUGUUAGGUCGGGAGUUAAAUCCGGAGGCUCAACCUCCGCCCGCUCCCGAUACCGGCAGACUUGAGUUUGGUAGGGGAAGGUGGAAUUCCUAGUGUAGCGGUGGAAUGCGCAGAUAUUAGGAAGAACACCAGUGGCGAAGGCGGCCUUCUGGGCCAUAACUGACGCUGAGGAGCGAAAGCUAGGGGAGCAAACAGGAUU
Molecule: ribosomal RNA, 252 nt
Filed under: uncultured bacterium
Lineage: Bacteria
Description: partial 16S ribosomal RNA
Rfam family: Bacterial small subunit ribosomal RNA
Source: RNAcentral